UCAGCAAAAGCCAAAUUAGAGGCAUAUCGUUGUUAGCGAUAUAAGUGAAUUCAUUCUUGUUGAA
RNAcentral lists this transfer RNA (64 nucleotides) under Polyplax reclinata. RNAcentral's name for it is "tRNA-Asn". The record is from RNAcentral. Lineage: Eukaryota; Metazoa; Arthropoda; Insecta; Psocodea; Polyplacidae.